CGGCGGUGCGGCGUGCUAUACAUGCAAGUCGAGCGGAACCUAUUGGAGCUUGCUCCAUUGGUUUAGCGGCGGACGGGUGAGUAACACGUGGGCAACCUGCCCUGCAGAUCGGGAUAACUCCGGGAAACCGGUGCUAAUACCGAAUAGUUUUUUGCCCCUCCUGGGGCGAAACGGAAAGACGGUUUCGGCUGUCACUGCAGGAUGGGCCCGCGGCGCAUUAGCUAGUUGGUGGGGUAAUGGCCCACCAAGGCGACGAUGCGUAGCCGACCUGAGAGGGUGAUCGGCCACACUGGGACUGAGACACGGCCCAGACUCCUACGGGAGGCAGCAGUAGGGAAUCUUCCGCAAUGGACGCAAGUCUGACGGAGCAACGCCGCGUGAGUGACGAAGGUUUUCGGAUCGUAAAACUCUGUUGUGAGGGAAGAACAAGUACCAAGUAAAUACUGCUACCCUGACGGUACCUCUACAGAAAGCCACGC
This 479-nucleotide ribosomal RNA is filed under the name Planomicrobium okeanokoites. RNAcentral's name for it is "bacterial SSU rRNA". It matches the Rfam family "Bacterial small subunit ribosomal RNA", at positions 39 to 496 of the family's 1533-position model. Lineage: Bacteria; Bacillati; Bacillota; Bacilli; Caryophanales; Caryophanaceae. The record is from RNAcentral.